GACGAACGCUGGCGGCGUGCUUAACACAUGCAAGUCGAACGCUGAGGCCCUGGUUUUUGUUGGGUUUGCUGAGUCGCGAAUGGGGGAGUAACACGUGAGUCAUGUGCCAUCUUCUUUGGGAUAACGCCCGGAAACGGGAGCUUAUACUGGAUAUUCACUGGCCUUGGAGUGGGGGUUGGUGGGAGGGAUAGGUUUGGCGGGGGGUGGGGGCGGGGCCUAUCAGCUUGUUGGUGGGGUGAUGGCCUACCAAGGCCUUGACGGGUGGCGGGCCUGGGGGGGUGACCGGUCACAUUGGGACUGGGAAACGGCCCAGACUCCUACGGGAGGCGGCGGUGGGGAAAAUUGCCCAAGGGGCGAAAGCCUGAGGCGGCGACGCGGCGUGAGGAAUGGGGGCCUUCGGGUUGUAAACCUCUUUCGCUCAGGGUCAAGCCGCAACUGGGGGUUGUGGUGAGGGUAGUGGGUAAAGAAGCGCCGGCUAACUACGUG
Molecule: ribosomal RNA, 486 nt
Filed under: uncultured bacterium
Lineage: Bacteria
Description: partial 16S ribosomal RNA
Rfam family: Bacterial small subunit ribosomal RNA
Source: RNAcentral